Molecule: long non-coding RNA, 6086 nt
Filed under: Zea mays
Lineage: Eukaryota; Viridiplantae; Streptophyta; Magnoliopsida; Poales; Poaceae
Description: long non-coding RNA (ZMAY_LNC002025)
Source: RNAcentral
UCUUGCUUUCAUCCUUGGUUUGAUCGGUUGUCUCCAAGUUAUGCAUAUCAAGUCUCACUUAAGCAAUGUCCAUCUUUCUUGUGAUGUCCAUUAUCUAUAGAUAAUUCCGUCUUUGGACCAUCACACCUGUUUACUUGUGUUGAACCCUGUUAGCUUUGCAUUCAGCACCUGUUCAACACUUAACACACUUGUUAGUCAUUUAAUUGGGUUGUCAUCCAAACACCAAAACCCACAAGAGAGCUUUCAGUCUCCCCCUUUUUGGUGAUUGACAGCAACACAAUUUAAGCUUACAUAAGAAUAAGAUUUAAAGCACAAUUUUUGAAUUCUAAGUUUAUAGAAUGCUCCCCCUAAAUAUGUGUUUACAUCAAAAUCUUAAAUUUGGCCUUAUAUGCCAAAUUGCACAUACUUAGGCUAAUUCGAAGCACUACUAUACCUUAGCACCUGUGGGAUGCAUUUUGUCACUAAUUAAACCGUGAUGCGUAUGACACAUAAAUGCACAGAAUCAGAGUUAAACACCAAUUGAAUAGAUAUACCACAGAAAUAUCAACCUACCACUAUUCACCAUUAAGAUACCAAAUUAAAACUAUUUUAAAGCACCAGAACCACAUGAAUAUCUAUUACAGGAUAAACACAAUAGAUACUAAAUGCUUCAUAUCAACGGAAGCACUGAUUUUGCAUUAUCGCCAUAUAAUACAAUAAGAAGCAUAAGAAGUAUCAACUAACACAUUUUUCCUUAAGACUCAAGGAAACCCCUUUAGGAUAAGCUUUCCUCUCAGGUUGAGAUAAGCUUUAAUGCACAAUUUCUCCCCCUUUGACAUCAAACACCAAAACCAUAUUCAAGCAAGAACAUAGAACGAUGUCAAGGGACAACAGGGUAUUGAGCAGGUAAAUUUUAACACACUAACAUUACUCCCCCUUACACAUUGAACAUAUGCAACACAUGCAUUUGGAGGAGAGUUAAGAUACAUAUACACAAAAGAUCAAUACUUCCUUUUGUAACUUUACCAUGUUGUGGUGUACUUUCCAUCUUGAAAGUUUAAUCUCUAGGGAGCUUCUCCACACUUGUGUCUGAUCCUUUAUCCUAACCUUCUCGGAGGUACCCAAGUCCUAAUUGCUCUAUUUCUUGCUCAUCUUCCCCUUUCCACCUUGAGACUAUACAAGAUCACUCAAGAAGCAAUUUAGUCUCAAAAGACACAAGUUAUGUGUGCUCCCCCUAAAGUUGUGCAACAAGUAUUUGAAUGACUUGCACUUUGCACAUUCUAGCAUCCUCAGAACUAGAGGGGAUCACAACAUAUCUUGGUCUAGACAUAAUCUAUCAAUUUCAUCACAAGGAGAUACCAACUGGAUAUAUGACAUAAUACAACUUGUGACUAGUGGAAACGAUGCAUGCCUCAAGAUAUAUAACAUUUUACAAGCAACCUAGGCACGCUUCACACGUGAUGAUCAUUGCAACACAUACACCAGUUGAAAGAUGAUAAGAUCAUGCAUAUAAAGUACAAUGUCUAACCAUACCAAGAUUAAGAAUUACUUCAUUUUAAGUGCACCAAAGGAAACAACAUUUUAGGGCAUAAGGCACCUAAGCCAAGAUACUAUCAAUUGAAAGGCAAGAACAUAGCUAUGAUCACAAUCAACAAAACUUCAAGAUUUUUAAUGAAAUUGCAUAGUUCUAUUCUCUAUACCUUUGCCUUUACCUGAAUCGCCAUGAGAGCACUUGUUGUUACCAACUUAGGGCUCCUUUUGCUCAUGCACCUCAUAGCUCAAGAAGGUGCAUUAGGCACAACAUGGAUUUGGUAUACACAUAGUACCAACAUAGGGUAAUUAUGUGAACAUGGACUAAACAAGAUGUCAUGCUUGCACAUAGGUUAAUCAUUAAAAAACCAUAUAGCAUGAUUCACAAAAAGAUACAGGUUUAUCCAUGAACACAAAAAGAGUUAAUCAUGGUAAUUAUAUCAAAUGAAAAGCUACCCAUUGAAUGAUUCAAAAGAUAUAACAUCUAGAACGCACAAUCAUGAUUAAGCAAGCAUUAUUAUGAAUUUGAAGAUCAUGAACCAUUGAUAACACAGGCAAUCUCAAAAGCAUAACUACUCCAAGGAUAGGUAUCACAACAAUCCAACUUAAGAGCAAUACUGAUUAUCAAUAAUGUACUUAAUGUACUUAAGAUACACGAGUACCAUCCUUUGGAGAGCAAGUUGCAGAUUCUCAUCAAGGUCCUUUGCUUGAUUAACCAAUAAUGAUUACGGACCUCUACAACUUAUUUCACUUGAGAUGAACAUGGGAUUAGUAUUGCACAAUAAUUCAACCUUGGGUCAAUGAAUAGACAAUAAAAAUUAACAGCUUAAGCAUAGAGUUUGAAUUAACCGUCUUAAGCUCUCCCUUGGUCUCCAGUCCAUCUCGAGGCACCUACAUGGUCUAGUUGGCACAGUUUGGUACCCAUCUCGGGAUGGGUCCAUAACGAUCAUUCAUAAGAGCUUUUGGUACCCAAAUAGCAAUUUUGCUAGUUCUAGGUGAUCUCAUUACUGAUCUAGCACAAGUGUAUGGUUUGGGUCUCCUAAGUGAAUGAGAUUGAGAUAGAUUUACUUGCUUAGGAACCUUACCCUUUUUACAUACCUUGGAUAGAUGACCCUGCUCACCACACUUGUAGCAGAAGCGUUGCUUAACCUGACAUGACGCUUGCUGUUUGUCUUCUUUCUUAGUGGGGGUCAUCCCGGAGAGUGCACGUGCUUGAUUUAUCAUUAGCGGACAAGAAGUGAUCGUAUGGUUCUUAUCAUUGCAUCCGAAGCAUCUCCUUAUCCCUUCAUCCUUGUCGUUGUAUGGACACGACGCAAUGAGGUGUCCUGACUUAUUGCACUUAAAGCACCUCCUUUUCCCUUUUCUAUUUUGUUCUUGGAUGACAUAGAGAAAUGGCCAGUGCAAACAACAUGACUAAUCGAAUCUUUACCUUUUUCCAAGUUCAUGUUGAUUUCUUCAUUUUUAGCAUUAGGAACAUCCUUCUUAUGGAGCUUAACACUUGCUGCAGUUUUUCCCGUCUCAAGCUUCUUCACCACGCGCCCGUGGAUAUCUUGAGAAGGUUGAACAAUGCGUCUUCUCCUUAGUUGCUUUGUUUUCUUGUUCCUUUCUUUAUUGAUGGGCACUUUUUCUUUUGAUCCUGCAGCUUGAUGCUCAUCCAAGAGUUGGCUUUCUUUUGAGCAACCAGGGUUAGCACAUGGUGAUAUAUUAUCUAGAUGUGCACGUGUGCAAGAAUGAGGUUCAUAUGAAUUUAGGUUUGCAACUACAACCUCAUGAGCAAUAUCAAGCAUGAUAUGUCUAUCCAAAAGAUUAUCAUGAUAAUAAGACAAUAUAUCAUAUUUUUCAGUAAGAGCAAGUUUAUCAUGAUUUAGCAAUUCUACAUGCCUCUCAUGCAUGGCAUUUUCCAUUUUAAGUUGAGCAACACAAGAUAAAUCAUCAUCAUUAUUUCUUUGCUCAAUUAAAACUGAAUCAUACCGUUGGACCAAAUCAUCAUGAGAGCACUUUAGCUUCUCAUGUUCUUUGGUCAUCUUCUCUAGGCUGUCGUUGGUUUUGUUGAGAGUCUCCUCUAGCCUGAGAAGCGUCUCGCCUUGUUCCUUGUUCCUUCUCAACAGCUUAACCAAGAGCGCUUUGUCUUCUUUAUUGAGAUGGGUGUAGAAACGACGAAUCUCCUCUUCUUCCACAUCGUCGGUCUCAUUUUUUCCCUGUCAUUAUUGUCAGUGGAAGCAAAACAGGAAAAUGUACCUUGUGAUGAUGUAGACUCCUCAUCCUCAUAUUCCUCCUCAUCAUCGCUUUCAUCUCUACUUUCAUCGUUAGCAGCGGAAUAGAAGAUCAUGUCUCAAAAUGCCCUGCACUUCAAAUAUAACUUGUACCACAGAUAAGUGUUGAAGUGCAGAUAUAAAAAGUGAGUAAGAUAGAGAGUCAGCACACAAUACAGAGCGAAGCACACAGACGCAAGAAUUUAUCCCGAGGUUCGGCCAAGCCUGAAAUGCUUGCCUAGUCCUCGUUGGAGUUAGCCACACCUGGGCUUGGAGUCUAUUUCAACUCCUUCCUACGUUUGCUCAGAUCUGUCAGUAUGACAGAUAGAGCCUUCCACUAUGUUGAGUUGGGUUACAACAAAGCCGCGGCUGCUUACAAUCUUCUUGACAGCACUCCAGCACAGUAACAGUGCGCUCAAGACUUUGCUCUAGCUCUUUGCAGCACCUCUCCACUCUCUAAAAGCUUAUAACUUUGCCUUCACACAAACUAGAGAGAUAUUCACGAGAGUGAGAGAGAGAAUCGAUCUGAGUGAUGUAUACAAUUGUUGGCUGCACUUGUUUGUUUGUUGAAGAUGCCUAGGGGUCCCUUUUAUAGACCCAAGGGGUCUAGGAGCCGUUGGAAUCCAUUUUGGAAGGCAAUACUUGCUUUCUGUCGGGUAGCGCACCGGACAAUCCGGUGCACCACCGGACAGGUCCUGUAGCUUGUCCGAUGCACGAUCUCCUUCCAAAUCGGGUUCACUUGACCGUUGGAGCAACGACCGCCUUGGCUCACCGGACACUGUCCGGUGCACACCGGACAAUCCGGUGGACCAACUAUCCGUUGGCCUAGGCCACGCGUCGCCCGCUGAUCGCGCUGCCGACUGUUGGCGCAGUCGACCGUUGGCUCACCGGACAGUCCGGUGCACCACCGGACAGUCCGGUGAAUUAUAGUCGUAUGCCGCCAAACUUCUCCCGAGAGCAGCCUGUUCACCGGAGUUCAGUCUAGCACACCGGGCACUGUCCGGUGCACCACCGGACACUGUUCGGUGCACCACCGAACAGUCCGGUGUGCCAGACUGAGCUGAGUCUUGGCUGUACACAGCCAAGCCUUUUGCAUCUCUUUUCUUUUCUUCUUUUCUCUGUUUCUAAUACUUAGACAAAUAUAUUAGUACACAAAAACCAAUGUACUAAGUCUAGAAACAUACCUUCUCUUUGAUUUUCACUUCUUUAGUAUUUGGCAUGAUUGAGAUUUAUGUUGGACUCAUAAACCAUCAAGUCAGCUUGACUUGAUCUAUAUUGACAUUUCUAAGCUCCAACAUCCUGCAAAGGUCACAUAGAAUAUCUCCAAUCAUAGGAACAACCCAAACUAAAGGUCAAGGUGCACUUAGCUCUUUUAGGCUGCUUCCAGUUCUGAUUUUGACAUUGGUUCUCCUUCUAGUGUCCUUGUUCACUUUUUGAGCUUGGUCUUGAGCCUUAUGACUUACACCACAUAAUUGUAGACGUUACCUCAUUGGUUGUAAGUCAUGUCCUUAUGUAGUGUUCCUUGAUGCACCAUAACUCUUCUUAACUCGAUCAACCUCGAUUCCGCAAGUCUCCUUCUUCACCCCUCGCUUUGGGUUCCUGGUCUCCUGGACUUUCUCCCGUGCACUCGGUACCUCGAAGCUCUUCUUGCUUUCAUCCUUGGUUUGAUCGGUUGUCGCCAAGUUAUGCAUAUCAAGUCUCACUUAAGCAAUGUCCAUCUUUCUUGUGAUGUCCAUUAUCUAUAGAUAAUUCCAUCUUUGGACCAUCACACCUGUUUACUUGUGUUGAACCCUGUUAGCUUUGCAUUCAGCACCUGUUCAACACUUAACACACUUGUUAGUCCUUUAAUUGGGUUGUCAUCCAAACACCAAAACCCACAAGAUAGCUUUCAAAUUCAACCACCAAAAUUUAUUUAGGAAAAGGUUUGAUCCUAUUUCCCUUUCACCGAUACCAUGUCAGGCACGACCACCAUGUAGUCUCAUAGCUUUAGGCCUAGCCACCUAACGCAAAACACCUCUAGGUCUAGUAGCACGUCUCUGAAUAGGAGGAUCAUGCACAUCAUGAGAAGAUUGUUGCAUGUCCCUACUGCUCUCUCGCAUAUCUCUUCCUCCUAACAAAACACAACCAAGUGAAUACUCUUAGUGGUACCUCACCUCUCUCUUAGGUGGAGUCUUUUUGUGGGAAAGGGUCAUCUUGGGUGGCUGUGGUGCUCUAGAAAGGGGAUCACUAGAGAUAUCGGGCAAAGUAUCAAGUGGCUUCUUUAGAUGGUUAGGUUUGGACAACCACACUUGUUUUUGAGGUGGGGCUCUUGGAGGCUCCUCAAAC